RNAcentral lists this ribosomal RNA (460 nucleotides) under uncultured bacterium. Its description in RNAcentral is "partial 16S ribosomal RNA". It matches the Rfam family "Bacterial small subunit ribosomal RNA", at positions 338 to 795 of the family's 1533-position model. The record is from RNAcentral.
CCUACGGGGGGCAGCAGUGAGGAAUAUUGGUCAAUGGGCGCGAGCCUGAACCAGCCAAGUCGCGUGAAGGAUGACUGCCCUACGGGUUGUAAACUUCUUUUAUCAAGGAAUAAAGUGAGGCACGUGUGCCUUUUUGUGUGUACUUUAUGAAUAAGCAUCGGCUAACUCCGUGCCAGCAGCCGCGGUAAUACGGAGGGUCCGAGCGUUAUCCGGAUUUAUUGGGUUUAAAGGGAGCGGAGGUGGGGUGUUAAGUCAGUUGUGAAAGUUUGCGGCUCAACCGCAACAGUGCAAUUGAUACUGGUAGCCUGGAGUACAGUUGAGGUAGGCGGAAUUCGUGGGGUAGCGGUGAAAUGCUUAGAUAUCACGAAGAACUCCGAUUGCGAAGGCAGCUUACUAAACUGCCACUGACAUUGAUGCUCGAAAGUGUGGGGAUCAAACAGGAUUAGAUACCCGGGUAGUC